GGGUGUGAGGGCCAUCUGGCUGUGACAUCUGUCACCCCAAUGAUCUCCAGGGUCGAUUCGGCUGAUCUGACUGGCCAGGCAGGUGUCCUCUUCCUCCCUCUCCACUCCAUGUGCGUCCCUCCCAAAGCUGCAUGCUCAGUUGAAGAGGACAACCAUCCCCGAUAGAGGAGGUCCUGUCUUCAGUGAAGGGUAUAUGGGUAGCUGUGCUUCCCUGCUAGAACCUCCAAACAAGAUCAAGAGAAGCUACAUUCUGAAAGACCUCAUGGAGAAGUUGUAACCUAUAACUUGGUAUCAUAAACAUUUGAAUGAUCCACUGCAUUGUGGUAGUUUGACCCUGUC
This is an unclassified non-coding RNA of Rhinopithecus roxellana (golden snub-nosed monkey), 339 nucleotides long. Its record names the gene 7SK. It matches the Rfam family "7SK RNA". From Rfam's summary of the family: 7SK was discovered as an abundant small nuclear RNA in the mid-70s but a possible function has only recently been suggested. Two independent studies have found that 7SK RNA binds the CDK9/cyclin T complex (known as elongation factor P-TEFb). The record is from Ensembl. Lineage: Eukaryota; Metazoa; Chordata; Mammalia; Primates; Cercopithecidae.